RNAcentral lists this ribosomal RNA (468 nucleotides) under uncultured bacterium. RNAcentral describes it as "partial 16S ribosomal RNA". It matches the Rfam family "Bacterial small subunit ribosomal RNA", at positions 28 to 507 of the family's 1533-position model. The record is from RNAcentral.
GACGAACGCUGGCGGCGUGCUUAACACAUGCAAGUCGAACGGAAAGGCCCUGCUUUUGUGGGGUGCUCAAGUGGCGAACGGGUGAGUAACACGUGAGUAACCUGCCCUUGACUUUGGGAUAACUUCAGGAAACUGGGGCUAAUACCGGAUAGGAGCUCCUGCUGCAUGGUGGGGGUUGGAAAGUUUCGGCGGUUGGGGAUGGACUCGCGGCUUAUCAGCUUGUUGGUGGGGUAGUGGCUUACCAAGGCUUUGACGGGUAGCCGGCCUGAGAGGGUGACCGGCCACAUUGGGACUGAGAUACGGCCCAGACUCCUACGGGAGGCAGCAGUGGGGAAUAUUGCACAAUGGGCGGAAGCCUGAUGCAGCAACGCCGCGUGCGGGAUGACAGCCUUCGGGUUGUAAACCGCUUUCGCCUGUGACGAAGCGUGAGUAACGGUAAUGGGUAAAGAAGCACCGGCUAACUACGUG